AUUUUUAUAAAUCUUAUUUAUUUAAAUAUUCUAACAGACAUUAUCAUACGUCUGCACAACUAGACGCUGUUGUUGGUGCGACUGCUAUUUCAAAUUCGUGGACAAAAUUUUAAUAUGAAAAAGAAAAUAUUAUAUGCGUCAACAUUACGGAAUCAAUCCAAAAUCGUUGUCAGCAACUGCUCAAAUUUAAGAACUGGAAAGUAAAGAAAAGGCGGCGUUUAAAAGUGGCAAGAAUGAUUGCAAAGAUAAAUAAUAAAUGCUCUACGAUUCGAUAAUAGCGUGCUGGAUAAAGAAACGAAAUCAAUAUUUUUGAAAAAUGGGUCAAACAAAUGGCAAUGACUUCUUUAAGGAAAAAUUUGGUUGGAACAAAGUAUAUUUCAUGAACUGACAGAUAUUCCACUCUUCUAUGUACUGAAGGGAGUUUCAUGAAAUUUAAUUAAUUGCAAAUGUAAAUCUGAACAUUUGAACCAAUAAACUAAAUAUGACUGAUGUUGGCUAAUAACGUUCUGCUUCAAGCCAACUUC
Long non-coding RNA from Ceratitis capitata (Mediterranean fruit fly), 524 nucleotides. RefSeq lists it as uncharacterized. NCBI's taxonomy places the organism in Eukaryota, Metazoa, Arthropoda, Insecta, Diptera, Tephritidae. The record is from RefSeq and is a predicted model, not a curated record. The transcript has 3 exons.